GUUUCCGUAGGUGAACCUGCGGAAGGAUCAUUAAUGAGUUGUCAUGGGGUUCGAUGCUGGCAGCCAAUUUUUGGAUGCAUGUGCUUGCCCUAACAAUCAUCUUCCAAACACCUGUGCACAUUUUUGAGGGAGUCUUGAGUUGGUUGCCGCUCUUGGGUGAUUUUCUCACAUUCCCUUAAAUCAUUAUACGCUAUUAACAAUGUUGAACGUGCUCUGUGCCGCAAGGCUAUUAAUAUAAUACAACUUUUAACAACGGAUCUCUUGGCUCUC
RNAcentral lists this unclassified non-coding RNA (270 nucleotides) under plant metagenome. RNAcentral describes it as "partial contains small subunit ribosomal RNA, internal transcribed spacer 1, and 5.8S ribosomal RNA". The record is from RNAcentral.